This 769-nucleotide ribosomal RNA is filed under the name uncultured bacterium. Its description in RNAcentral is "bacterial SSU rRNA". It matches the Rfam family "Bacterial small subunit ribosomal RNA", at positions 57 to 824 of the family's 1533-position model. The record is from RNAcentral.
GCGGUCGGACGGUAACAGGUGGCUAGACUGCUGAAGAGUGGCGAACGGGUGAAAAGACAGCGGAAUGUACCCGGGAAUGGGGGAUAACGCUCCGAAAGGAGUGCUAAUACCGCAUACGCCCUGAGGGGGAAAGUGGGGGACCGCAAGGCCUCGCGUUAUUGGAGCAGCCGAUGGCUGAUUAGCUAGUUGGUGAGGUAAAGGCUCACCAAGGCGACGAUCAGUAGCGGGUCUUAGAGGACGAUCCGCCACACUGGAACUGAGACACGGUCCAGACUUCUACGGAAGGCAGCAGUGGGGAAUCUUGGACAAUGGGCGAAAGCCUGAUCCAGCAAUGCCGCGUGCGUGAAGAAGGCCUUCGGGUUGUAAAGCGCUUUUGUCUGGGAGCAAAUCCUGGCCUCUAAUACAGGUCGGGGAUGAGAGUACCAGAAGAAUAAGGACCGGCUAACUACGUGCCAGCAGCCGCGGUAAUACGUAGGGUCCAAGCGUUAAUCGGAAUUACUGGGCGUAAAGCGUCCGCAGGUGGCUUGAUAAGAUAGACGUGAAAUCCCUGGGCUCAACCUAGGAAUUGCGUUUAUGACUGUCUCGCUAGAGUAUGGGAGAGGGGGGUGGAAUUCCACGUGUAGCAGUGAAAUGCGUAGAGAUGUGGAGGAACACCGAUGGCGAAGGCAACCCCCUGGCCUAAUACUGACACUCAUGGACGAAAGCGUGGGGAGCAAACAGGAUUAGAUACCCUGGUAGUCCACGCCCUAAACGAUGUCAACUAGCUGUU